GUGAUGGCGCGCGGCCUCCACACGAGGUGCACCAGCGCGUUGAACGCCCACGAGACCAGCACCGCUACCACGGCCGCCGCCACCAUCCAGACGAGACCCAUGGUGGACCGGCACGGCGGUCACUCGGGAUUGAGAGAUUGAGACGGGUGGGGUGCCUCUGCUUCUGGUGCUCUGCUUGUGAUUGUGAGCUUGAGUCCUUGAGACCGGGAAAUGCGUGUGUGUGUCUGCUGUGAGAGUCGGGUCGGGGAGGUGGGUAUUUAUCCGGGAGGAUGAGCUUUGACCAUGGCCUCGGGUCGCCGGCUUGCUUGCUGGUGCUGGGCACGCGGCUGUGGGCAUGCACACGAGGGAGAAGAGAGGCUCGGCGUUUGGUGAGCUCAGCUGUGAUGCAUGCGAGUUCACCAACUAUGCUCGUGGGAACGUGUGGUCUGCCGGGAAGCCGUCGUACGCAUGGAGCUGCUGGCCGACAUCGACGUCGACGGGAUAUCCGCACCGCACGGGGCUGGCUUACAUUAGUACUCUAGAUGAAACUUCUUUUAAUAACGAAACCAGAUCGCAUCUGGCCCCCACGCCGCUCCCUCCCCGGGCCGACACCGACGGGCGGCUCCAACCCUAUAGCCUCUCCCCUCCCGCCUCUUUCUCCCCCUCGCUGUCGCCGGUGGCCUUCGACAGGUAAAGCCUGCGCGGAGCCGGCGGCGGCGGGGCGCUCUCUGGCUGCCGCUCGCUCGUGGGUUGGGGAUACGGNNNNNNNNNNNNNNNNNNNNNNNNNNNNNNNNNNNNNNNNNNNNNNNNNNNNNNNNNNNNNNNNNNNNNNNNNNNNNNNNNNNNNNNNNNNNNNNNNNNNCCAUCUUUGAUCAACGAGCUAGUCAACUAGAGGCUUACUAGGGACAGUGUUUUGUCUAUGUAUCCACACAUGCACUGUGUUUCCAAUCAAUACAAUUAUAGCAUGGAUAAUAAACGAUUAUCAUGAACAAAGAACUAUAAUAAUAACUAAUUUAUUAUUGCCUCUAGGGCAUAUUUCCAACUGUCUCCCACUUGCACUAGAGUCAAUAAUCUAGUUCACAUCACCAUGUGAUUCCAACGAAUCCAGCACCCAUAUAGUUAUGGGGUCUGAUCACGUCUUGCUCGUGAGAGAGGUUUUAGUCAACGGUUCUGAAACUUUCAGAUCCGUGUGUUCUUUACAAAUAUUUGUGUCAUCUUAUAGAUGCUGCUACUAUGUGCUAUUCGGAAAUACUCCAAAUAUCUACUCUACUAUACGAAUCCGUUUCACUACUCAUAGUUAUUCGGAUUAGUGUCAAAGCUUGCAUCGACGUAACCCUUUACGACGAACUUUUUAACCACCUCCAUAAUCGAGAAAAAUUCCUUAGUCCAUCAGUUACUAAGGAUAAAUUUUGACCGCUGCUAAUGAUUCAAUCAUGGAUCACUCUUUGUACCUCUCAACAGACUUUGAGUCAAGGCACACAUCAGGUGCGGUACCCAGCAUGGCAUACUUCAGAUUCUACGGCCAAGGCAUAGAAUACGACCUUCGUCUAUUCUCUUUAUUCUGCCGGGGUCGGGUGUUGAGUCUUACUCAAAUUCACACCUUACAACGCAACCAAGAACUCCUUCUUUGCUGAUCUAUUUUGAACUCCUUCAAAAACUUGUCAAGGCAUGCAUCUUGUUGAAACUUCUAUCAAGCGCUUUCGAUCUAUCUCCAUAGAUCUUUGAUGCUCAACGUUCAAGUAGCGCAAUCCAGGUAUUCCUUUGAAAACUNNNNNNNNNNNNNNNNNNNNNNNNNNNNNNNNNNNNNNNNNNNNNNNNNNNNNNNNNNNNNNNNNNNNNNNNNNNNNNNNNNNNNNNNNNNNNNNNNNNNCGUGUACACUUCUUGAUCUGUACUUGGCUUGUUGGUUCAGUGUAUGUUAACCAUUCAUCAAAUGGUUCUUAACCCAUUUAUGUAAAAAGUUCCAACCCAUAGUGGAGGUUGUGUUUAGUUUAGUUUGGGUAAGAAAAAUAGCAGGUUCGGUUUUGGUUGGGUUUCAAGCUAGCUUAGAUGGGUUUGGUUUAUGUUCAGGUUUCAAGCUAACUCCCAUGGGUUCGUUUUAGGUACCGUUCAGGUACCCAACCAUUCUCAGAUUUACGUGACAUGGAAAAUACACCCAGAGAAAUUCUGAAUAUCUUCUACAACAAACAUUGCCUCGUUUAGUGUAUGCAUGCAAAUUUUUGGGAUGAAAUCAUAUUUAUGAAGAUUUGGUCAAAAUAUAACUAAAUCAGCUCUUCAAAAGGCUUUGAAAGAUGGCAUGAUGAUACACGGACCUUUUCCUUCCCCUCACACAAAGGUGACUAGUGCAGAGUUCUCCUACCUCCAACCUCCACCGACCAUCACAUGGAUUCUCCUCCCCUAUGUCUAUCGCCUCCGGUGGCUGCUGAUGGAGAGAGGAGUCCCCGUGCCUCGACUCCGGGUAAUAGUUUAGAUUAGGGAUUUUAGUCCUCGUGAGGGAGGCGUUCGGAUGGAAGGUGACACUUCAUCUCCGAGUUGCUUUUGUGGACAUUAAUCCCCCUCGAAUUCGUUCGUCAUGACGGAGUCAACGGAGCUCCAACCUAAGUUCAUGCUAACUCCUUGGGGGAUGAGGUAAUAAUCUUUCAUCGUAAGUGCAUGACAACGAGAUUUAAUGGUACACACAUCAAAUUGAUUCAACAGUUUCAACGACGACGGUUACGACUCUAAGUGUUAGUUCUUAGGGGUACGUGCAUGAAGACUCCCGGCUGUCAUCGACAAGGUAAUGUUGGCUCUAUGGAGCGGUGUCACGAGGGUGUCAACGUCUCAUCUGGCAAUGGUAGUGGUCAUACUAUGGUCUAGGUACAUUGAUGUAAUUUUUCUUAAUGAUGAUUGGGGUGUUUUGUAUUUCUAGUGGACUUUUAUAAUCUAUCCACGUAUUUUUUUAGUGCUUUCAAAAAUAACCUCUUUUACGACAUUCAUUUUUUCUCUCGAAAUCAUUAGGAAUGUUUUUUCUUCAUGGAAAUUUGUAGGCAUGCAUGACGUUCACGAAUGUUUAUAGCCAAAAAGUUCAAGUUAUUAUUAUUAUUAAUAAUUAUAUGGUUCAUGAGGAUAUAUUGUGCUCGGGGGAAGAAACUCCAUGCUAAACAAAGUGAUCCCCAGUUCAAGAACUGCAUUUGAUUGCAAAAGGUAAGAGCGUGUCUGUUUUUGGAUUCAUAUAUUAAAGAACUGCUAGAAUACUGUUAUUUUUCAUUAUUUGGGUUUCGGUAAAAAGGUAUUCUCUACAUGUAAAAAAGAUUCUGAGAAAAUCAAACAACAACUUUGAAAAUAAAGAAGACAUGGGCCAAAAUCCCACUUUGAAGGGAGCCCCUAGGGCGUAGGAGCUAAAUCUAUGUGAAUAAAUAUAUCCCGCUUAUGGUGUGACGGAGGUCCUAUGCGUCGCUCAUUCCGGCACGGUGUCAACCAUUCGCACAGAGACGAACCAACUGGCGAUCAAAAUGGGCUGGCCCAAUUGCAUAAGAACGCACAAGUUACAGUGUCCGGUUUCCGGACCCUUCUAGAACGUUCCUAACCGGUUUAGAAACCUUCUAGAAGGAUCUUAAACUAAUAUUUAUAGGUUUUUUUAAUUUAUUUUGUUUCUUUUUUAGUUUAUUUCUUUUCCUUUUUCGAUUCUAUUUCUCCUUUUAUUUUUCAGUUUUUAUGCCAUUUAUUUUAUUUACUUAUUCUUCUGUUUCUUGUUCUUCAGAAUUAAAAAAAAAUCAGAAUUUCGGAAAAUGUUCAGAAGUUACAAAAAUGUGCAGUUUUGAAAAAAGGAAUUAUUUUGAGAAUGAGACUAUUUUUUAAAAUAGUUUCGACCAUUCUUUUGGAAAACAUUCAUCUUUUAAAAAAUGCACCUUUUUAGAACGGGAACAUUUUUAAAAAAAUUGUGCAGUUUUUUAAUACGAGAUUUUUUUAGAAACACGAACAUUUUUGAAAAGUUGUGGAUAAUUAUUCAAGCGGGAACAUUAAUUGAACUUAUGUACACUUUUUGAAACGGAACAUUUUUUGAACUUACGUACAUUUUUUGAUAAGGCAAACCUUUUUUAGAAAAUGAAAAACUGAAUAUUUUUAAAUCAUGAAUAUUUCAAAAUUGGUGAACAAAAUUUGAACAAGUUUCCCAUUUGUGAACAAUUUUAGAAAACAAAAUAUUUUCCGUAAAACAGGAUUUGUUUUAUUCAAAUCUGAAAACAAUAACAUUCUGACCCAGCUUAUUUUUUUGUUUGAAAUAAUUCUAAUAAUUGUUUUCCUAUUUUUUCAAAUUCUAGAAUAGUUUUUCAAAUGACGGAAUAUUUUCCAAUUUCCGGAAUAUUUUAUCAAAUUUUGGAACAUUAUUUUUUCAAAAAUACGGAAUAUUUUGAUACAAAAUUCAGACUUUUUAAAAAAAAUCCAGAGCAUCUUUUUCAAAUUCCGGAACAUUUCUUUCAAAAUCUGGAAACAAAUUCCAAAUUCCAGAACAUUUUUUCAAAUUCCGACAGAUUUCUUUAGUUUUUGGAACAUUUAUACAAAUUCCGCAACAAUUUUCAAAUUCCAGAACAUUUUUUGAAUUCUGGGAAAAAAAUACCGGAGCAAUUUUUUAUAUUCCGGAACAUUUUUGAAAUUAGCGAACAUUUUUUUAAAUUUCUGAAUUUGGUUUUAUAUUCCGGAACAUUGUUUCUAAUUUGUGAACAUUUUCAAAUUCCGGAACAUUUUUUUAAAUUUUUAAACAUUUUUUCAAUUUCAGGAACAAUUUUUUAAAAUCCAGAACAUUUUUGAAACAGUAACAAAAAAAGAAUAAAAAAAAGGAAAACGAUAAAAAGAAAAAACCGGUUCAACGAAUCUUUUAGAAAGUUCCUAAAAUUUGAAAGCCCGGCUGGAAAAGUUUAGAAUAUUCCCAAAACAGAUAAAACGAGCGAAAAUCUCGGAAGGUUCCUAAAAACGAAAUCGCUGCAACAGGUGAACGCGCCGGUCCAACUUAGCUCUUCGAUCGGCAGCUUGUGCGAAAGGUCGAUAAUUUGACAUCAUAUAUCAAAUAGGAUAUUCCAUGCUGUGAUUACCAUCCGCCUCGUCUGAAGGGGUUGUACAUAUGGGACGGUCUGUUACAGCCAUCGCUCGCUCAGUCGCUCGCCCGUUCUAGCUACGUGUUUUUUUUCUUUCUCUAUUUGUCCACUACCUGGGCGGUUUUGAUUUUUUUUGUUUGGUUUUCUUUUUCUGUUAUCGGUUUUCUUUGGUUUUCUGUUUUAUCUUCAUUUUUUUCAAAGUUCUACAGAUUUUCUUAUUUAUUUUAUAUCUUUACUAUUUUUUGCUACUUCGUUUUUUUUAUUUUUUUCAUUUUAUAGGNACAUUUUUAUAAUUAUAUUUUUUAAAUCCAUUUUCUCCUUUCACAUUAUACAUUUUCUCCUUUCACAUUUUCGGUAUACACCAUACACAUUUUACAAUUCGAAAAUACAUGAUUAACCUUUUUUAAAACACAUAUUUUAUGUCUAAUUUUUCUGUAAAUAUUGUGCAUUUUUGGUGUACNNNNNNNNNNNNNNNNNNNNNNNNNNNNNNNNNNNNNNNNNNNNNNNNNNNNNNNNNNNNNNNNNNNNNNNNNNNNNNNNNNNNNNNNNNNNNNNNNNNNUUUGAACAUUUUUGGUUACAUGACUAUUUUUCAAAUUUGUGAACUUUUUUUAAAACCGGAAGAUUUUACAAAAAAACAAAUAAUUUUUAAAAAUUAGCAAACACUUUUUUGAGAAAGUGGGAAUGUUUCAAAAGUAUUGACAGUUUUCAUCAAUUUUUGUCAAAAAAGAGAAGAAAGGAAAGUUAAACAAAAGUACUACCUCCGUCCGGAAAUACUUGUCCUAGAGAUGAAUGUAUCUAGACUUAUUUUAAUUAUAGAUACAUCCAUUAUAUGCAUUUUUAGGACAAGUAUUUUCGGACGGAGGGAGUAGAUAUGAAAAAAUAAUAAUCAGAAAACCAAUGAAACCAGGAAAAUGGUUCAAGAAGCUUCGCAAAACCAGAACAAGAAUGCUUCUGCCUAGUGCUAAAACGGGUCAGCCCACUUGAUGGAUGGUCUAUAUAAGGAUUGAAAUCCUUAACGGUUCUAAGAGUUAUGAAGCCCUCGUAACUGCAAGCAGCUUAGAAAAUUCAGGAGAUCUAAAAUCUAAUGGGAGAUAUCAGUUAUUAAGUUAAAAAAAUAGCAUUAGCAUUAGUUUUAGAACACGGGCACCUAGCAUUGCACACUGCCUAUUACAAGUGUGCAAUUUCAGAAUGAUUUUCCAAAAUGGAGAAGUAGGAGUGAGUUGUAUGUAUCUUUCCCGUCCUGCAUGUCAGGAUUGAUAGAAAAGAAUGGCCACAACUUUGGUUUACCUAUAGAAUAGUGACUAUUUUGGGGGGAUUUAAAGGUGACUGCUGGUAAGAAAUAUCAAGAACUUAUUAAUAAAGCACUUUAUUAUAUUUAUAGAAUGCAUUAUACAUCAAUAAUUUUCCAAGCUUAUCUAGUGCAUAACAUAAACUAAAAUCCAAUCAAAUAAUACAAAACCUUGUGUUAUACUUAACGACAUACACAUUUUUCUAUAUCUCUAUGCUCUUGAGGAUCAUGGGAAGCCCAAACUUGGGCCGCAGCGUGAUCACAUCCAUCGGGGCAUGGACAUACUUAGGUGAUAGGGAAAACGAAAACCUCUGAAGAAUCACGGCGAUAACGGCCUUGGCCUCGAUCAUUGCAAAGCUCUGCCCAAUGCACGACCUCGGCCCGCUGGAGAAUGACAACAAGGCAUUGGGAUGCUUUCCGGCCCUCGCCACUCCAUUCUCGAACCUCAUAGGCUUGAAUUCGUUGGCAUCUUCUCCCCAUACCUCCUUGUCACGGUGGAUCGUCGCGAUGGGGAUCGUUAGGACGGUGCCUUCGGGCACUUUGAUGCCACCGACCUCGAGAUCUGAACCCGCCUUCCUCUGAAUGAGUGAUACAGGGGCGUAUAGCCUGAGAGUUUCCAGUAGGAACAUGUUGACCAAGUGCAGCUUGUUGAGCAUGUCGCCGGUGGGAACCUCACUGCCACACUCUCUUAGCACCUCCUCCCUGAGCUUCUCCUGCCACUCAGGGUGCGUGCUCAGCAAGAACAUGGUCCAUGUGAGGAGGUGCGAGCUGGUGUCAUGCCCGGCAAAGAAGAAUGUCUUGCACUCAUCUAUGAUCUCGUCCAUACUCAAAAUCGGAGUAUGGCCACCCUCUGCCGCGCACGCCUCCAGCAUGAGCCCGAGCAGGUCGUUGCCGUAGCCCAUGGUGUCUUUGGUGGCAAGACGGCUUUCGAUGAUGUUCAUCAGCAUGGUCCUCACCUCCUUGUCAAGCUUCCAUAUCUUGAGGUUCUUUUCAGUUGGAAGGUACCUGAAUAAUUCAACAAAUACACAGAGAUUAAUUUCAGCUGUGCGAAAACAUAUGUUGUAUGCUGAUUUAAAUUAAACCGACAACGGCACAAGAAGAAGAGGAGCUUGCAUUUACCUGAAUGCUGGGAUUUGGACACUGAAUACGGUGGAGAAGGCGAGGAACUGAAGUUCCCUCUGCGCCAGGAAGACCUUUUUCCCCUGUUCGUAGCUGCUUCCGAAUGCCGUGUGAGAGAUGACAUCCGCGGUUAUCUCCUCAAACUGGCUGCUGAGGUCAAUCUCCACGCUGCCGCCCUUGUCCAUCUUCGCCUCCCACUCCGACAUCAUUGACCCGGCACAUUCGGACAUGGUCACCGUCAUCAUCUGUCGUGCAAACAACAGUUAGCGCAAGUCAUACGCAUCGUGCCUAGUAAUACACAAACGUCAACGCGUGCUGCUCUGGAGCUUGGCACACCGCGCACGUACCUUGAGCUUGUCCAUGUUGAAGGCGGGGUGGACGACCUUCCGGUGGCGCUUCCAGUCGUCGCCGUCGGUGAGCACCAGCCCCUUGCCGAGCAGGCGGGCGAUGUGGGGGUUCCCGAUGUUCUUGGGGUACAUCCCGUUGCGGUCGGCGAGCACCUGCUUCACCACGUUCACGUCCGCCACGCACAGGCUCGGCCUGGCACCGAACCAGUACAGGAACGUGCGCCCUGCAAGCACGACACAGAACGUAAGAGCAGGAAGUAGACGGCCAUGUCGCCGUAGAAGACAGCCAUGGACUGGAACUUGGAAGGAAUUGCAGUCUGUCUGAGGUAGUGAGGUUUCGUACCGUGGAUGGGGAUCCAUUUGCGGAAGUGCGGCUGGACCAUGGGGACGAAGUCGUGGUCGCCGACGUCCAGCGCGGCGCCGGCGGUGUCGUCGCGGAGCCGCUUGAUCUCGCCGAGGUUGCCGGCGAAGAACCUGUAGCCCGGCCCGCCCACGCCCUGCGCGCGGAGCUGCCGGGUGAUGGCGCGCGGCCUCCACACGAGGUGCACCAGCGCGUUGAACGCCCACGAGACCAGCACCGCUACCACGGCCGCCGCCACCAUCCAGACGAGACCCAUGGUGGACCGGCACGGCGGUCACUCGGGAUUGAGAGAUUGAGACGGGUGGGGUGCCUCUGCUUCUGGUGCUCUGC
This 8492-nucleotide long non-coding RNA is filed under the name Hordeum vulgare. RNAcentral describes it as "long non-coding RNA (HVUL_LNC003127)". The stretch from base 5796 to 5919 matches the Rfam family "MIR1120/MIR1122 microRNA precursor family". Lineage: Eukaryota; Viridiplantae; Streptophyta; Magnoliopsida; Poales; Poaceae. The record is from RNAcentral.